This 99-nucleotide signal recognition particle RNA is filed under the name Avibacterium sp. 20-126. RNAcentral describes it as "signal recognition particle sRNA small type". It matches the Rfam family "Bacterial small signal recognition particle RNA". From Rfam's summary of the family: The signal recognition particle (SRP) is a universally conserved ribonucleoprotein involved in the co-translational targeting of proteins to membranes. Archaeal SRP consists of a 7S RNA and homologues of the eukaryotic SRP19 and SRP54 proteins. In most bacteria, the SRP consists of a 4.5S RNA and the Ffh protein (a homologue of the eukaryotic SRP54 protein). RNAcentral also lists the same sequence under 1 other name. The record is from RNAcentral. Lineage: Bacteria; Pseudomonadati; Pseudomonadota; Gammaproteobacteria; Pasteurellales; Pasteurellaceae.
UUCUCGGUUCCUCGCAACGAGGUCUGGUUUACUCGGUCAGGUUCGGAAGAAAGCAGCCAAAGUCAGAUUGUUCGUGUGCCGAGAUCAAGCUGGGAAGGU